UUUAUCUAGUUCAUAUAAAUUCCUAUAUAUAUAUAUAUAUAUUCCUUCCUUAACUUGGGCUCUUGUAGAAUUCCUCAGAAAAUUACAAUACACAAGAUUAUACCACGAACACUGACAAGAUUUCUAAAGCAUGUCCAAGCAGAUGCAAUCACCUGGAUGCAUAUUCAAUAAAACACAUUUUAUAUUGGUUUAUAGAAGAAAUAAAUUCAGUAUAGAGAAGCACAUCAGCUCACAUCCUUGAUGCCUAAUUCUAGAAACAGGUUGUGUCAAGAGUACACACCCUACAAGUUCCAUAUCUAUACAAGGAAUUCUAAAGCUCACACCCUACAAGUUCAUUUCUUGAAAAAAGGGGUCAACAAAAAGCUGAUUUGCUAUGCACUGUACAAACCCAAAUGGCACCUUUCAUCAGGCUAGUCCAUAAUACAAUAAAAACUAAGAAAAGCCGAAACUGACCAGGAACUCAGAGAAGCAAGGAAAAUUAUAGAAGGGAAAAAAGGGCACAACUAUGAGAGGUAAAAAGGAAGAACUAAUUCGAAAAAAAGUGAAAGGAAAUAAGUAACGAGAGCACUAGACAUAAAUGUUUUCAAAACAUAUUGAAAUACUAGAAUUUAUUAUCAAAUAAAAAAGAAGAACAAGAAGACAAUGUGCAUAUUUAUGGAUCUCAACUUCUUAUCAACUAGUCUAGGAGUCUUAGAGAUGUUCAUUCUUAAUAAAGACACAAAGACUCAACCACAAAACAAUCCUAAUACUCUAGCUGAUCCAUACUUUAAAUAUUUCAAAUUUCCCCAAAAAAUAUGCAAAAGUAUAUCUGCAAAAGUUAAAUGUUUGUACAUAAAAUUUUCCAAAAACUAGAAAAUUGAAUGACAAAUUAGAACUAAUUUAUCCUAAAUUACUACCAGGAAAACCUAUAAGAUCAUGUAAAACCUGUCAUCAGUGAAAAUGAGACGAAAAUUACACAACAAAAGCCCUGAGUUGCCAGACUUCAUAUUUCGCAGAAAUUAGCAAGGAAUACUAUGUUCUGUGGCUAUAUCACCCAGUCACCACCAGGUCUAACCAACAUUCUGGUGGUAAAUAGGUGGGAUGGGAAGAGUCGAGAAGGGUAUUAUAAGCAUAUAUCUUAUAAUAUUGACUAUUAGCUUUGUCAAAUAGUAAUUAAGGAGCUAGCAUAUAUCUUGAUUGCAACAUUACUGAUGGGGAAUAUCUUCCAACACAGACUGCCAGCACAUAGAAUAAUUAAUGUUGAUCAAGCAUGCUCAAUCUAAUGACAACUUCAUCAUUCAUAUGCAUGAGGAAUUGAGAAUGUUUGACUGAUCUUACCUGAAGCCCAGCCCCAGCAAGAA
Molecule: unclassified non-coding RNA, 1340 nt
Filed under: Hevea brasiliensis (rubber tree)
Lineage: Eukaryota; Viridiplantae; Streptophyta; Magnoliopsida; Malpighiales; Euphorbiaceae
Source: RNAcentral